RNAcentral lists this ribosomal RNA (468 nucleotides) under uncultured bacterium. RNAcentral describes it as "partial 16S ribosomal RNA". It matches the Rfam family "Bacterial small subunit ribosomal RNA", at positions 28 to 507 of the family's 1533-position model. The record is from RNAcentral.
GACGAACGCUGGCGGCGUGCUUAAUACAUGCAAGUCGAACGGACAGGCCCUGCUUUUGUGUGGUGCUCGAGUGCCGCACGGGUGAGUAUCACUUGUGUAACCUGCCCUUGACUUUGGGAUAUCUUCAGGUAACUGGGUCUCUUACCGGAUAGGAGCUCCUGCGGCAUGGUGGGGGUUGGUAAGUUUCGGUGGUUCGGGAUGGACUCGCGGCUUGUCAGCUUGUUGGUGGGGGUGUGGUUUACCAAGGCUUUGACGGGUAGCCGGCCUGAGAGGGGGAACGGGGACAUGGGGACUGCGGGACGGCGCAGACACGUACGGGAGGCAGCAGUGGAGAGUAUUGCACAAUGGGCGGAAGCCUGAGACAGCAGCGCCGCGUGCGGGAUAACGGGCUUCGGGGGGUAAACCGCUUUCGCCGGUGACGAAGCGAGAGUGACGGUACCGGGUAAGGAAGCACCGGCUAACUACGUG